Molecule: long non-coding RNA, 5431 nt
Filed under: Vitis vinifera (wine grape)
Lineage: Eukaryota; Viridiplantae; Streptophyta; Magnoliopsida; Vitales; Vitaceae
Description: long non-coding RNA (VVIN_LNC005491)
Source: RNAcentral
GAAUAUGAAUUAAUUUAUUAAUUUGUAUAUUCACACCCAUAUUCAUAUCCAAACCUUUAUACCCAUAUUCACUAUGACCAUAUAAAUAUCCAUUACCCAAUUUAUAUAUUUAUAUCCCUAAAUAUCCAAUACCAUACCACAUAAAAUAUUGAAUACCCAUGAUCCAUAUCCAUAUAUAUAAUUUUCCAAAUCUUCUAUAAUAACCACAUCGAUCAUCCCCAAAUCUCCAACAUCCUUUUCCUGAUUCUUAAUGCUCUCUCCUCUCUCCUUUGCUCAAGCCUCGAAAUGAUAAUCACAACAAAGCACUACCAAAUAUGUUGCCAAAGGGAAAGCCAAGCCACGAUUGGAGAUAUUGCCAUAAAAAAAUCUAAUCCACCAUCCAAGAUGUUGACACCAACAUGAACAUAUGGGUAGCCAGUGACAAAGAAGAAGAAGAAGGGGGAUUUUGUGCCCCAACUCAAAGUCAUUUUCAAAACUCAACCAAGUCAAGCUAGUCCUUUCAGUAAAACAACCAAGUUAGCAUCGAAAUGUUGUGAAAUCGUAACUAAAUUAUAAAAAUUGCCUUGAACCUAGCCAAGGCAAAUAUGACUUAGACGUGUCUGGUAUGACUCAACCAAUACUUUGAACCUUUUUUUUGUAGAUAAAUUUUUGUCCUCAUUGGAACUUGAACCUAGAAUCUCCCACAACCCUCAAUAACCCUUUACCAUGAAUCAAGGCAACCAAUGACCAAGCUUCCCCUCUUCUUCCACCUAUAAAUACGUGGAGUCCACCUAAUGACAAACCUAAGAUAAUUACCUAGGGAUAGGGGGCCUACAAUUGGGUGAUGGUGACUUUAAAAUUUUUUCCAAUUAAAUUACAAGAUUACAUGUAAUAAUGAGCAUAAAAAGAAAGAGUCAACAAAAAAAUAAAAACAAGAAUAAUAAUAAAGAGAUCAAGAAAGAGUGCAAAUUCAGCACAAUCUUGCCUAUAUCCAUAGCUUCAAGAUCCAACCCAAGCCUCAAUGCUGCACUAUACAAAGGAUCCUUCAAACCAAAGAAUUUGUUAAUACACACGUGAUUUCUAGGUACCAAUCAACAUUUGCAACACCAUAAGUGUUUUUCCAAAACUUAGAAUCACUCUCUCAUAGAGUAUAAUGAAUUUGGAAUCAAGAAAACACAAGAACCAGCUUAGAAAGUAUUAGUAUAAUAGAAAAAAUAGCUAGUCUCAAUGUACAAUAAAUGAGAUUUGCAAGUUCUUUUUUUCUUUUUUUUUUUGAACAAUUGGAUGCUUUGCAGGUGGUAGUUUAUCCAUAAAUGAUGUUCAAGAAUAUUUUAUAUAGGAUUUUGACACAACAUAUUUUUCCAAUGAACCAGUUGAACAUCUGAUGAGGAUGAAUAUUCAAGAUAUAUAUCAAGAAAGGGAAUUAGUAUUAAUUGUAAUUAAAGUAGGAUUAUUAUUACUUGGAAUUAAAUUAGGAUUAAUAUUUUUUGGAGUCUAAUUAGGAUUAGCUAGUUGAGUUAUAAUAUAAUUAGAAUUUGAGUCAUGAUAGGUUAUUAGAGUCCUAGUAGAAUAGGUUAUUAGAGUCCUAGUAGACUUUGGAUUUCUUAGAGAAGCCUAUAAAUAGGCUAAUCAAUGUAAAUCAAAGGGAUGAAUUUUUUAUGAAUAAUAUUAUACUUUCUUUCAUUGCAAGGUUGCAACCCUCAAUGGUGAGACUCCAUUGAUUUUCUUCUAGAUGAGACUCCUAGAAGGCCUUAGUGAGACUCUAAGGUUUUCCAUCUUUUCUUCAUUGUUUCUUCUUUCUCUCUAUUUCUUAUCUUAUAGUUUUCUCUACCACAAAGUUUAUUCCUUGUUCCUCUCCUUACACCCUAAAAAUAAAACCCUAGCCCACCUACCCUUGAGUGUAGGCAACCAUCCUAGGGUUGUCCUACAUCAACAUCCAACCAGCCACUAUGCAUUAACUGCACUAGCAGGUAACAAUUGAGACUUAGAGUGCUCAAUCAGUUGACCACUUGUUCAUUUGGUUGGUCAUCUGCCAUACACUACCAGAAAUGCACUAACUGAGCAACUAGCACAACCAAUUGGUUAACCACCCAAGUUGGAAACACAAAAAAAUGUUGCCCAAGUGUCCUUCAACAAUUUCAAUUGGUUCGAUUUGAAAAUUUAAGAUUGAAAAACCCUUUUUCAAAUAUCCUUUAGCCACAAUUGGGUGAUGGUAAUUUAAAUUUUUUUUCCAAAUUACAAGAUUACAUCUUAAUAAUAAGGAUAUAGAGAAAUAAUCAAUAACAAAAGUAGAAAACAAUAAUAAUGAAGAGAUAAAGGAAAGAGAGUGCAAACAAAGAUUUUAAUGUGGUUUUGCACAAUCUUACCUACAUCCAUGACCUCAAGGUCGAACUUGAACCUUGAGAUGCUAUAUUAUAAGGAUCCUUUAAACCAAAGAAUCCUUUAAUGUACUCUUAAUUUCUAGACACCAGUGGACAUUUACAACACCACAACUACUCCUCCAAAACUUAGAAUCAUUCUCAUAAAGUAGAAUGAAUUUGAAAUUAAGAGACCACAAGAACUAGUUUAGCAAGUAUUACGUAGUAGAAAAGAUAGCUAGUUUCAAGCUGCAAUGAAUGAGGUUUGCAAGUUUUAGUAUAACUGCACUCAAAGUACUAAAACUCAAGGUUUGGACAAUAGGAUGAUUUGCAAUUGAUAUCUUAUCUAUAAAUGAGGUUCAAAAGUCUUUAAUAUAGGAUUUUUACAUAAUAUAACUAUUAAGAACAUUUUCCCGACGAACAGGUUGAUCACCUGGUCAACUAUCCAACUAGCCCACUGCACAUUAACUGUACUAACUAGUAACAAUUGAGAUUCAGAGUAAUAAAUCAGUUUACCACUUGCUUAGUUGUUUGGUCAUUCACUAAACACUACCUAAAAUGCACUAAUUGAGCAACUAGCACAGGUGAACCGGUCAAAUGAUUGGCAAACCACCUAGUCAACCACUCAAGUUGGAAACACAAAAAAUAUUGCACAAGUGUCCCUUAAUGGCUCAAUUGGUUCAAUUUGAAAACUUAAGAUUAAAACACCAUUUUUAAUGAUGAAAAUGGAUAUCAAAAUAUGAUUUUUUUUUUUUUUAUCCUUCUAUAAAUCAAACUUUUUUUUGUAUAUAUAAAAAUCAUCAGUAGUACAUAAAUAAGUUCUUUUAAAAAACAUUUUAAAGAAUUGAUUCUUUUUUGUUCAAAAAAUACUUCAAUUUUAACAGUGAAUUUUGAAGCAUACUUAUCCUCAUUGAUUAACAACUUGAUCUAGCCUAAAAAAAGAACCAAUAGAUAAAGAUUUUGAAAGAACCUUCUCUUGUAAUUUUAGCUUCUUUACUUGCAAUCGACCUUCUUCUUGAUAAAUCUUUAAGAGUGAUUCAAUUAAAUUUGUUUACAAUCCCAAACAAUAAUUAGAUUUACAAAUCAUUUAUUUGGUUAUCAUCAAAACUUAGGUAAACCAUAACCAAAAACGAUCCUUUAAUCCUACCUUCCCACACCACACAUCAAACCAAACCACCAAAAAUUUGUCCUCAUCACAUUGCCUACCUCAAGGCUAGUUUCUACCAAAGAUAUCAUCCCAUGCUCAACUAGUGGCUUUCCAAAGACUUAUCCCAUAAGUGCCCCUCCCCAUCCUACACCUCUCUAAACUUGCUCAAAAUGACUCUUCUCUAGAGGUUAUCAUGCUCCAUAGAAAGCCUUGAAUACUAAUUUCCUAAAAUAUUUCAUUAAGAACAGAAGGAUUUUUGCAUCGCAGUCCACCUCCCCAAAGGUUUAUGAGAGAAAUAAUCAUCUUCCUCAUCCUGCACCUCCUCAAACCAGCCGAAAAUGACGCUUCUCCAAAGAUUAGUAUGUUCCAUGACAAAACUUCAACACCAUUUUCCUAAUAAUGCUUCAUUAAGAAGAGAAAGAUUUUUGCACCUCAGCCCACCCCAUUAGCUUUUAAGGAGCAUAUGGAAGCCUGUCACCAAGUAAAUUUUCCUCUCUAUAUACCACAACAACACCUCCCCUUGGGAAUCACAAAGACAGACAAGAAAAUAUAUACUAGUAAACUUGAAAUAGUGUUCUUGAGUAGUGUAAAUAUCUCUCCCUUCGACAGAAAUUGCCUCUUCCAAAAAGCAAGUUUCUUCUUAAACCUUUUUUCCACAAGAUAACAAAUGGAGGACUGAAAAGGAGCAGCUAGAGGCAAACCUAGGUAAGUAGAAGGCAAGGGCUCUUGUUUUCAACCAAACCAUGAUGCAGGCUAGUCUAAGCCCAUUAUAUUUCCUAUUGAAUCAAGCUCACUUUUGCCAAGAUUAACUCUAAGUCCUGAAACCAAUCAAACCAAAAGAGCACCCAACUUGGAUAUAGUAACUGCUUGCUAUUGGACAUAAAGAGUAGUAAAGAGUAUCAUAGGAAAAUAGGAGAUUAGAGAUCCCCGCACCUUCAGCCCUGCUUCCCCUGACCUUGAAUCCACUAAUGAAACAACCCUCCUCCAUUUUACAAAUCAAACAACAUAACAUUUCCAUGAAGAGAACAAAUAGAUAAGAAGAGCCCUAUCACAAACUUGUUGAGUUUUGGAAGAAACCGGUAGGGAUCCCAUUGACCAACACUAAAAAUCUCACCAUAGGGAUACAGUUUUUUAUCCAUCCAUCCAUCCAUCUAUUUUCUUUUACCUAAAACUCAUUUUUGUGCAUAACAAAUAACAAAAAAUUUCAAUCCACAUGAUUAUAAGCUUUCUCAAUAUCCAAUUUACAUACCAAACCACUCUUCUACUUUUCAAUCUCAAAUGAAUGGUCUCAUUAACAAUCAACACUGCAUGUGAAUUCUAUCUCCCCCAUACAAUAGCAUUAUGAGAAUAAAAAGAUCAACCUUCUUCUUCAACCUAAGCAACCCCUUAGCCAAAAAGGUUAGAUAAACCACACACCAAGCUUAUUGGCCUAGGCAUUUUUAUAUCCUCUGCCCAUGUCCUUUUAAUGUACCAGAACCAAGAAAGUAGCAUUAAGAUUUUGGAAAUGUCCCAAGAUUGUGAAAAUCAAAGAAGUUCAAAACAUCUUCUCUCAAUGUGGACCAGCGCUUAGGCCAUCAAGCUAUGGAAAAGCCAUAUGGGCCUGGUGCUUUUUCACUACACAACUCUACAAAGUUGUCACCACCUCCUCAUUAAAAGGGCCCUUUCUAAUAUCUCUAUCUCUAGGAGUUUGAGGCUUAACCCCUCCAUUCCAAGUCUCUGGUCCCUAGGACUCAAGUAAAGAAGUUCAAGGCCAUCUGGUAGUAUGUAUUUCUGUUUUCACUCUCUUGAAAACAGAAAUCACAUCUGGCAUUAGACAGUAACAAUGACUCUAGGAGCAAGCUGAUGUUCAUUGCCAAGCCAUUCUCUUUACAACAUCUAAAAAAAGCAAAGAAAUAUUGCUUCUGUAAACAAUAGGGAUUUCUUUGCUUGAUAAUAACAUCAGGCCUUG